Pyrus x bretschneideri (Chinese white pear) is the source of this 755-nucleotide long non-coding RNA. RefSeq lists it as uncharacterized. The record is from RefSeq and is a predicted model, not a curated record. Lineage: Eukaryota; Viridiplantae; Streptophyta; Magnoliopsida; Rosales; Rosaceae. The transcript is spliced from 3 exons.
UUUCCAAAUCUUUUUGUACUGUUUUGUUAGGUUAGACAGCAUGGUUUUUGGUUUUUUUUUUUUUUUUUUUUUUUUUAAAUCGAUUGGGGGAUUUUUUGGCCGUCUAUUUAUUUGUUUGCCCUUUGGUUUGUUUUUCAUUCUUGGUUCCCCUCUUUCAUUAGAGAGUACAAAAAUUCCAAAGGUAAACAUCCAAUCCCUUGCUUCGCUUUUCUGUCCAUAGCCAAGAAUUGGUGAAAUAAGUGUGGUUCUUGGAUCUGCGGUCUGAAACAAGAAAAUAUGUCUAUUCUCUGUGCCAGCUAAUGUAUCUGUGAUUUCUUUGCAGGACACUACUGCAACACAAGUCCGUUUGGAAGAUGGAGAGCACACGACUUAAGGAUCUCGGACCCAAGUUUUUAGAUCCGAAGCGGUCAGGAUAAGAACGAUUUGGAGCAAGUGACUCAAAAAGUUAAACUUCGAUAUCGAAAUUAAUGGAAACCCAUUGAUCCCGUUGUAAUGGGUCUCUUUGAAAAAACAAUUCUUAAGACCAAUUGUGAGGUUUGUUCUUAUAUAGUACAUGAGUGUUUUUAUAAUUCUUUUGCACGGUUGUUAGUAUUUGUUGUUAUGAUUGGUGUUGUCCUACAUGUUUGGCCUGAAGAAAAUGAGACAGUACUUUUGACAUAUUGAGAGUGAAGGAAUCUCCUUUGGACCUGGUCAUGUUGGAGUAUAUUUCUACUAACUUGGUACACUAUGGAAAUUCAUGGACUCUUUUACUUGCC